GAUCAUUCUUUGAUUCCUUUAAUUACGUUGGUCAUAGUAGAUUUAAAAUGCAUGAUAUGAUACAUGAUCUAGCAAAAUUAAUUGCAGGAAAUGAGUGCUACACAAUUGUGGACAACUGGCUACCCUGUUUCCCCGAUGGGGUUCGCCAUCUAUACAUACAAGGUGAAGAAGAAUUAGUGAAAUCACUGUGCUCACAAAAUCUUAGGGCCCUACGGACCUUGUUAGUCUCGGCUCGGUUUGGGUCUAUCUAUAGGAUGAUAAAAGAAGUAACCCAAUUUUCACUGCUUCUACUGAGGACAGAAUGCUUACGGACUCUAACAUUUGUUUGGAAAAGUGAAGAUGAGUUGCCCGAUUCAAUCAGUAACCUGAAACACCUACGUUGCUUACAUAUCACAUCCAAAUUUAUUAAGAAGCUCCCUGGAUCAGUAUGCCUCCUUUACCACCUACAGACAUUGAUCCUUGAAUGUGAUGCUCUUGCAGAGUUACCCAGUGGCACAGGUAACCUUAUUAACCUACGAUACUUUAGACUACAGACACAUUGUAUUAAAAGGCUCCCUGAAUCAGUUUGUCAGCUACGCAGCCUGCAGACUUUGGAUCUUCAUUGGUGCAACAAACUUAAAGGGAUAAUGAGUGGCAUAGGAAUCCUUACUAAUGCUCAAAUUCUCUGUCUGCCAGCUGGAAUCAAAAAACUAACAAAUCUUCAGAGAUUGUGUGGACGUUAUGAAGUGCAGGGUGGGAUAGGAGUGUUAAAGGACCUGGUGAACCUCCAAGGAGAUCUCUGCAUCUCAGGUCUCAGGAACUUGGUCAGCAUAGAGGAUGCAAAGGAUGUUGGUCUUAAAUAUAAGCAUAAACUUAAGCGGUUGUAUCUAUUUUGGGAUGCCAACUGCGAACAUGAUUGGUAUUAUGAUGGACUAGAUCUAAAAGCUUUUCUUGAGGAAAAUAAGGAUGUCCCAGCCUAUGAAAAAAGGGAGGAGGCCGUGCUUGAGUAUCUUCAACCUCCCGCCAACCUCAAAAAGUUGCUUAUAAAUGGGUAUGGUGGCUCCAUUUUUCCAGAAUGGGUGGGAAAUCCUUUAUCCUUUGCAUCACUUCAAGAAAUCCAUAUAAUUGGAUGUCAAAGCGUAUGGUCCCUUCCUCUAUUCAUUCACGACUCUCUUGGAAAAUUGGAUGCAUCCAUAUCAAAAUCUAUGAUUGAGAGGGUGUCUAUUUCUUGUUGCCAGCAGCUCAAAUACAUAGCAGGCCUUCAUAAUCUCUACUCACUUAAAGAAUUGAAAAUAUCCGUUUGUCCUCGGCUCUUGAUAUUAUCAGAGGAAGGACUGCCAUCCAAGCUUCAAAAGCUGCAUAUUGAGGAGUGCCAACGGUUGACAUCAUUGCCGGGGAUGCAAACCCUUACUUCUCUUCAAGCAUUAAUUAUAAAAAAUUGUCCUCAACUCCGGUUCUUAUCGGAGGAGGGACUACCAACCAAUCUUCAAGAUCUGCAUAUUGAGAAGUGCCAAAGGUUGAUAUCACUGCGGGGGAUGCAAAACCUCACUUCUCUUGAGCUAUUGACCAUAAUAAAUUGUCCUCAACUCCGGCUUUUAUCAGAGGAAAGACUACCAACCAAUCUUCAAGAUCUGCAUAUUAAGGAGUGCCAACAGUUGAUAUCACUGCGGGGGAUGCAAAACCUCACUUCUCUUGAACUAUUAACCAUAAUAAAUUGUCCUCAACUCCUACUCUUAGCAGAGGAAGGACUACCAUCCAAACUUGAAUCACUGCAUAUUGAGGAGUGCCAACAGUUGACAUCACUGUCGGGAAUGCAAAACCUUACUUCUCUCAGAGAAUUAACCAUACAAAAUUGUCCUAAACUUUGUAUCCACGUAGAAGAUCAGCUCUCAUCUAUGCCUCACCAUGUGGAUAUUAUUGAUUGCCCUGGAUUGGUUAACUGGUGCGAAAUACAAAAAAUCAACUGCAUUCAGGUCGUUUCAGGCAACAAGCUGACUAUAUCGAACUCAUGGGAGAAGAUAAUGCAUGGGUUUCAUGAUUUGACAUCCACCGAGCAUAGAUUUGAUGAGUCAUCUACUAGCAGAGUUGCAUUGCUACAGCCUAGAUCACAUCUUUUUUUUAGCAAUUCUUGGGAAUCCUUUAUAAAAAGACCCCAAGCCAAACUUGAAGAGCUGACCAUAUGGAGUUGCAUGCACAUCCUGCCACUAGAGGGCCUGCCUGAGCUCACAUCUCUCCAAAGAUUGAUUAUAAAGGACUGUCCUGGAGUCCGACUCUUGAGAGAUGAGGUGCUCCCAUCGAUGCUCAAGUCCUUGGUACUUGAUAGUUGUGAGAACCUAAGGUGUUUGCAGUUGGUGCAGCAGAACCGUUAUGCACUUGAGGAGCUGCAGAUUGUGAAUUGCCCUGAAAUCGUAAUGGUGCAAGGGCUGGAUCGCCUUUUCUUCCCCAAAUUCUUAACAAUAGAGCGAUGCCCUCAACUCCUGCUUUCACAAGAUGAUUGGCGGCCAUUUAUUCACCCAUGUGCUGAAAUUGCAGGAGAAUUGGAGAUGAAAUUCAAUCCUCCACAUUCAGAGGAAACAGAGAACAAAGAAACAAUUGAUGAUGGAACCCAGGAGAAACAGGUGUUGAAUUGUGUGAUGAUUGAACGUCCUAACAGUGUUGUAUCUUCAAGAUUUGAUGCUGCAGAUGAUUGCAACAUGGGUCAAUUCCUACAGCUUGGGCUUCCUUCUGGUUGCAGGUCACAGUGCCCGGUACAAAACAAUGCAGAACCAUUGUGGGUGGACAACAAUGCUGUAUCUCCAAUGUUUGAUGAUGCAGCUGAUUGCAACAUGGGUCAAUUCCUACAGCUUGGGCUCCCUUCAGGUUGCAGCUCGCACUCCUUGGUAGAUAACAAUGUAGAACCAUUGAAAUGAUCUUGGCAUCAAUUCCUGAAUGAUCUUAACUGGUACAAACUGCAGAGGGAGUGGUUUCACAAAUAGGCAACAGUAAUACAAUGGGUUCAGACAGAAGCAUCUUUAGACAAGGAGCUUGUGGCAAUGAUGUAUUACGAGAUGGAAGACAAUGAUUGCAAUCAUCAAAAGAGCCCAUUAUAUGGUAAUCAUCCAUUCUCCCAUUCUGUGAUGGUUAAUCAUCUAACGACAUGGAUGGAGACUAUGGAAUCGAGCAGCUCCAACCGACCCUGUUUUACAUCCAUUACAGAUCCAGGUCCUUCAAGGCCAUGGCAGCUAUAGUUAGCUAAGCCUCCUAUGAUCUGCCCUCAGCAACGAGAUAUAGCCAUUGCUUUUCCAGAUUGUCAGCCAUUCGAGUCUACUGCAAGGCAGUCAGAUGUUACUGUGACAUAUAUUGACCAUGACAAUAGUGCUGUAUUUCCAAUAUUUGAUGAUGCAACUGAUGC
Molecule: RNA transcript, 3370 nt
Organism: Elaeis guineensis (African oil palm)
Lineage: Eukaryota; Viridiplantae; Streptophyta; Magnoliopsida; Arecales; Arecaceae
Gene name: putative disease resistance protein RGA3
Source: RefSeq, a predicted model, not a curated record